AACCGGAUUAGAUACCCUGGUAGUCCAUGCCGUAAACGUUGGGAACUAGAUGUAGGGGCCAUUCCACGGUUUCUGUGUCGCAGCUAACGCAUUAAGUUCCCCGCCUGGGGAGUACGGCCGCAAGGCUAAAACUCAAAGGAAUUGACGGGGGCCCGCACAAGCGGCGGAGCAUGCGGAUUAAUUCGAUGCAACGCGAAGAACCUUACCAAGGCUUGACAUAUACCGGAAACGUCCAGAGAUGGUCGCCCCGCAAGGUCGGUAUACAGGUGGUGCAUGGUUGUCGUCAGCUCGUGUCGUGAGAUGUUGGGUUAAGUCCCGCAGCGAGCGCAACCCUCGUUCUAUGUUGCCAGCACGUUAUGGUGGGAACUCAUAGGGGACUGCCGGGGUCAACUCGGAGGAAGGUGGGGAUGACGUCAAAUCAUCAUGCCCCUUAUGUCUUGGGCUUCACGCAUGCUACAAUGGCCGAUACAAAGGGCUGCAAUACCGUAAGGUGGAGCGAAUCCCAAAAAGUCGGUCUCAGUUCGGGUUGAGGUCUGCAACUCGACCUCAUGAAGUCGGAGUCGCUAGUAAUCGCAGAUCAGCAACGCUGCGGUGAAUACGUUCCCGGGCCUUGUACACACCGCCCGUCAAGUCAUGAAAGUCGGUAACACCCGAAGCCGGUGGCCCAACCCUUGUGGAGGGAGCUGACGAAGGUGGGAUCGGUGAUUAGGACUAAGUCGUAACAAGGUAACCGUA
This 735-nucleotide ribosomal RNA is filed under the name uncultured endophytic bacterium. RNAcentral describes it as "bacterial SSU rRNA". It matches the Rfam family "Bacterial small subunit ribosomal RNA", at positions 771 to 1504 of the family's 1533-position model. The record is from RNAcentral.